Molecule: ribosomal RNA, 441 nt
Filed under: uncultured bacterium
Lineage: Bacteria
Description: partial 16S ribosomal RNA
Rfam family: Bacterial small subunit ribosomal RNA
Source: RNAcentral
CCUACGGGUGGCUGCAGUGGGGAAUAUUGCACAAUGGGGGAAACCCUGAUGCAGCAACGCCGCGUGAGUGAUGACGGCCUUCGGGUUGUAAAGCUCUGUCUUCAGGGACGAUAAUGACGGUACCCAAGGAAUAAGCCCCGGCUAACUACGUGCCAGCAGCCGCGGUAAUACGUAGGGGGCAAGCGUUGUUCGGAAUGACUGGGCGUAAAGGGUGUGUAGGCGGGGUAGCAAGUUAGAAGUGAAAUACCUAGAGCUUAACUCAGGUGCUGCUUCUAAAACUGCUAUACUUGAGUGCAGUAGAGGAAAGUGGAAUUCCUAGUGUAGCGGUGGAAUGCGUAGAUAUUAGGAGGAACAUCAGUGGCGAAGGCGACUUUCUGGACUGUAACUGACGCUGAGGCACGAAAGUGUGGGGAGCAAACAGGAUUAGAUACCCUUGUAGUC